CCUACGGGAGGCAGCAGUGGGGAAUAUUGCACAAUGGGCGCAAGCCUGAUGCAGCCAUGCCGCGUGUGUGAAGAAGGCCUUCGGGUUGUAAAGCACUUUCAGCGGGGAGGAAGGCGGUGAGGUUAAUAACCUCAUCGAUUGACGUUACCCGCAGAAGAAGCACCGGCUAACUCCGUGCCAGCAGCCGCGGGAAUACGGAGGGUGCAAGCGUUAAUCGGAAUUACUGGGCGUAAAGCGCACGCAGGCGGUCUGUCAAGUCGGAUGUGAAAUCCCCGGGCUCAACCUGGGAACUGCAUUCGAAACUGGCAGGCUAGAGUCUUGUAGAGGGGGGUAGAAUUCCAGGUGUAGCGGUGAAAUGCGUAGAGAUCUGGAGGAAUACCGGUGGCGAAGGCGGCCCCCUGGACAAAGACUGACGCUCAGGUGCGAAAGCGUGGGGAGCAAACAGGAUUAGAUACCCUGGUAGUC
This 465-nucleotide ribosomal RNA is filed under the name uncultured Klebsiella sp. RNAcentral describes it as "bacterial SSU rRNA". It matches the Rfam family "Bacterial small subunit ribosomal RNA", at positions 338 to 795 of the family's 1533-position model. The record is from RNAcentral. Lineage: Bacteria; Pseudomonadati; Pseudomonadota; Gammaproteobacteria; Enterobacterales; Enterobacteriaceae.